AUAAGACGACCGCGUCAGUAAAUAAUAGCAGUGUACAACUGAUAUUUGACGAACAACUUCGCCUUAAUUACGCUGAUGAAGAGACGAGAACGAACCGCUGUACCAUAGUAAAUGCCGUUUGUACUAAAGGCUACAUCCUUGGAGAUGGAGAUGGGAGCGGUCAGACAACAUUAACGAACUUCAAGUCUAGUAAGGAUUCCAUGAUCUGAAGACUUUGCCAGAAUGAUCACGUAAUCAAUGUUUGAUAUUUUGCUGAACAAAGUGGACUAAAGGACGAUGGAGACGGGAGGUGUGACGCACUAGAGGAAAACUAUGCAGUGAACAUCUCGUGUACUGAAGUUUAACCCCGACCAUGGCCAUCCCAAUUACGUUAGAGAAUCAGAUCAAGCUUCAGAAAAACUGGGAAACUAUGUGUGACGACCUAGUUGUCAGGGACGUUUCACCCAAGCUUAUAUCAAGAGGAAUUCUGACUCAAAAAGACCUGAAUGACGUCUUAAAGAAAAAAACACGCCUUGAACAAACUCAGAAACUCUUAAGUCUUUUGUUAACCAAGAACAACCAACACUUCGAGUACUUCCAAGAAUGUUUGAAUAAGGACUAUGGUUGGUUGGCAGAUAAAUUGUCUGUAACUGUUGUGACUAGAGAAGACAGAGAGGAGUUUACAGGUAAGUAGCAAAAGGCAUAUAUAUAUAUAUAUAUAUAUAUAUAUGUAAUGGCUGUGAUAGGAAUUUACUUCUUUUGUUCGUUGAAAAGUUAAAGGAAAGCUUAUACUAAGUUAUACAUGACAACGAUGGUAUGAAUUGAGUUAAUCAACUAUUGAAAGUUCAAAGCAGCGUUAUUCAAAGAAAAAAAAACGUGGUAAAUAUAAUUUUAAUUAUGGGAAACCUUGAACUUUUAAACUAAACUUAAGUGCCAGUUUUUUUAAGCAGCAGACAAGUGCGGCAAGGUGAGGGUUCACAGAAUUUGACCUUAUUGGGCUGAAAUACUUGCCUGGGGACCCUCUUAACUUCUGCCAAACGUUAGGCCCCAAAACCGUAUUCAAGGGAUUUAUGCCCAAUUUUCGAUUUUUCCAGUUUUCGAAGCAGAUUUUCAGUCAGCAGCCAUGCAACUCAUAUGUAUGCUUAUUUCCCCCUUAUCUAGCUAUGUAUUUACAAUAUUCCUAUAUGAUGUUUUUUGUCAAUCAAUAUUAUUCCUUCCAAGACAUUCAAACAACACCCACCUAGUCCACACUGUACCCACAUUUUGCACCCCACCCCCCAAAACCAUAUUUGAGCAUGGCGAUUUUCAAAGAGUCAUAUACCCACUGGUAGAAGUCCUAUGACUGUAAAACCUAUAUGUGUUUAUAAAGGAACAUUAGGGUGAUAAAAUCCAAAGAGAUCUUGGACUUUUAUUUUGUUGGCGAUAUAUUGAUGUCUGAAAACAUGGCCAGAAAUGCGCAGCAUUCACGCGAUACGCAAGGACGCUACAGUUGGGCUUCACGUGACUCAACUAGCCAAUCACAGCACAACAAUGGCAUCGCACACAGACUCUAUGAUAAGUGCUCGAGGAGCAGCCUAUUGACAAGUCAGUCUGUCCGGAGAUCUGGCAUAUCAAUGCGUAAGCGGUGAUUAUUACAAAAAAUCCUACGCGCUUGCACAAAAUAGUCCGCGACGUGUGUUUCGCGCCAUAUUUUGCAAAAUCCAUAUCUGUUAUGAAAAUCCAUGAAACUCUGUGAAUAGCCCAUUGUUCCGCUUGAAACUUUCAAAAAAUAAAAUUUAGAACUUGAUGUAAACGCACAAUGUAAAAUGAACAUUUCAUUUCCGUGGAAAAAUUUGUAUCAGCUGUCUAAAAAUAGCACACGCGUUUUUCCCAAGCUGACCUUGGAAUUUUUUACCCAAAAAUGAAAUGAUUGCAGAAAAAAUGGACAAACCUAAUUUUUUGAUAUUAUAAUGAUUUAUG
This 1938-nucleotide long non-coding RNA is filed under the name Lingula anatina. RNAcentral's name for it is "uncharacterized LOC106159810". The record is from RNAcentral. Lineage: Eukaryota; Metazoa; Brachiopoda; Lingulata; Lingulida; Lingulidae.